GAUGAAGAACGUAGCGAAAUGCGAUAAGUAAUGUGAAUUGCAGAAUUCAGUGAAUCAUCGAAUCUUUGAACGCACAUUGCGCCCGCCAGUAUUCUGGCGGGCAUGCCUGUCCGAGCGUCAUUUCAACCCUCGAACCCCUCCGGGGGGUCGGCGUUGGGGACCUCGGGAGCCCCUAAGACGGGAUCCCGGCCCCGAAAUACAGUGGCGGUCUCGCCGCAGCCUCUCCUGCGCAGUAGUUUGCACAACUCGCACCGGGAGCGCGGAGCGUCCACGUCCGUAAAACACCCAACUUCUGAAAUGUUGACCUCGGAUCAGGUAGGAAUACCCGCUGAACUUAAGCAUAUCAAUAAGCGGAGGA
Molecule: unclassified non-coding RNA, 358 nt
Filed under: soil metagenome
Description: partial contains 5.8S ribosomal RNA, internal transcribed spacer 2, and large subunit ribosomal RNA
Rfam family: 5.8S ribosomal RNA (bases 1-120)
Source: RNAcentral